This 606-nucleotide ribosomal RNA is filed under the name Roseobacter sp. J2111m. Its description in RNAcentral is "bacterial SSU rRNA". It matches the Rfam family "Bacterial small subunit ribosomal RNA", at positions 129 to 769 of the family's 1533-position model. The record is from RNAcentral. Lineage: Bacteria; Pseudomonadati; Pseudomonadota; Alphaproteobacteria; Rhodobacterales; Roseobacteraceae.
CCCUUUGGUACGGAAUAGCCUCUGGAAACGGAGAGUAAUACCGUAUGAGCCCUUCGGGGGAAAGAUUUAUCGCCAAAGGAUUAGCCCGCGUUAGAUUAGGUAGUUGGUGGGGUAAUGGCCUACCAAGCCUACGAUCUAUAGCUGGUUUUAGAGGAUGAUCAGCAACACUGGGACUGAGACACGGCCCAGACUCCUACGGGAGGCAGCAGUGGGGAAUCUUGGACAAUGGGCGCAAGCCUGAUCCAGCCAUGCCGCGUGAGUGAUGAAGGCCUUAGGGUCGUAAAGCUCUUUCGCCUGUGAAGAUAAUGACGGUAGCAGGUAAAGAAACCCCGGCUAACUCCGUGCCAGCAGCCGCGGUAAUACGGAGGGGGUUAGCGUUGUUCGGAAUUACUGGGCGUAAAGCGCACGUAGGCGGACUGGAAAGUAUGGGGUGAAAUCCCAGGGCUCAACCCUGGAACUGCCUCAUAAACUAUCAGUCUAGAGUUCGAGAGAGGUGAGUGGAAUUCCGAGUGUAGAGGUGAAAUUCGUAGAUAUUCGGAGGAACACCAGUGGCGAAGGCGGCUCACUGGCUCGAUACUGACGCUGAGGUGCGAAAGUGUGGGGAGC